This 467-nucleotide ribosomal RNA is filed under the name uncultured bacterium. Its description in RNAcentral is "bacterial SSU rRNA". It matches the Rfam family "Bacterial small subunit ribosomal RNA", at positions 29 to 506 of the family's 1533-position model. The record is from RNAcentral.
ACGAACGCUGGCGGCGUGCUUAACACAUGCAAGUCGAACGAGGUUCUACCGGUGGCAACACCGGGAAAGACCUAGUGGCGAACGGGUGAGUAACACGUGAGGAACCUGCCCCGAAGACCGGGAUAACCCUCCGAAAGGAGGGCUAAUACCGGAUGCCCUCUACUGAUCGCAUGGUCGGUUGAGGAAAGGAUUCUGCUUCGGGAGGGCCUCGCGGCCUAUCAGCUUGUUGGUGAGGUAACGGCUCACCAAGGCGACGACGGGUAGCUGGUCUGAGAGGACGAUCAGCCACACUGGGACUGAGACACGGCCCAGACUCCUACGGGAGGCAGCAGUGGGGAAUCUUGCGCAAUGGGCGAAAGCCUGACGCAGCAACGCCGCGUGCGGGAUGAAGGCCUUCGGGUUGUAAACCGCUUUCAGUGGGGACGAAUUCAGACGGUACCCACAGAAGAAGCCCCGGCCAACUACGU